Non-coding RNA from Potamilus streckersoni, 75 nucleotides. The record is from the annotation of a GenBank genome assembly. NCBI's taxonomy places the organism in Eukaryota, Metazoa, Mollusca, Bivalvia, Unionida, Unionidae.
UGCUCUGAUGGUGUAGUGGUUAGAGCAUCCUCCUCAGAUGUGGGAGGUUGUGGGUUCGAACCCCAGCUGAGGCAU